CCUACGGGCGGCAGCAGUGAGGAAUAUUGGUCAAUGGGCGUAAGCCUGAACCAGCCAAGUCGCGUGAGGGAUGAAUGUCCUACGGAUUGUAAACUUCUUUUAUAAGGGAAUAAAGUGAGGCACGUGUCCCUUUUUGUAUGUACUUUAUGAAUAAGGAUCGGCUAACUCCGUGCCAGCAGCCGCGGUAAUACGGAGGUGGCAAGCGUUGUCCGGAUUUAUUGGGCGUAAAGGGAGUGCAGGCGGUUCAAUAAGUCUGAUGUGAAAGCCUUCGGCUCAACCGGAGAAUUGCAUCAGAAACUGGUGAACUUGAGUGCAGAAGAGGAGAGUGGAACGCGAUGUGUAGCGGUGAAAUGCUUAGAUAUCACGAAGAACUCCGAUUGCGAAGGCAGCUUACUAAGCUGCAACUGACACUGAUGCUCGAAAGUGUGGGGAUCAAACAGGAUUAGAUACCCUAGUAGUC
Molecule: ribosomal RNA, 460 nt
Filed under: uncultured bacterium
Lineage: Bacteria
Description: partial 16S ribosomal RNA
Rfam family: Bacterial small subunit ribosomal RNA
Source: RNAcentral